UACGGGGGGAGCAAGCGUUGUUCGGAUUUACUGGGCGUAAAGGGCGCGUAGGCGGUCAGCACAAGUCAGUUGUGAAAUCUCCGGGCUUAACUCGGAAAGGUCAACUGAUACUGUGCGACUAGAGUGCGGAAGGGGCAACUGGAAUUCUCGGUGUAGCGGUGAAAUGCGCAGAUAUCAGGAGGAACACCGGUGGCGAAGGCGGGUCUCUGGGCCGAAAUUGACGCUGAGGAGCGAAAGCGUGGGGAGCAAACAGG
Molecule: ribosomal RNA, 254 nt
Filed under: uncultured bacterium
Lineage: Bacteria
Description: partial 16S ribosomal RNA
Rfam family: Bacterial small subunit ribosomal RNA
Source: RNAcentral